GAUGAACGCUGGCGGCGUGCCUAAUACAUGCAAGUCGAGCGAACAGAUAAGGAGCUUGCUCCUUUGACGUUAGCGGCGGACGGGUGAGUAACACGUGGGUAACCUACCUAUAAGACUGGGAUAACUUCGGGAAACCGGAGCUAAUACCGGAUAACAUUUGGAACCGCAUGGUUCUAAAGUGAAAGAUGGUUUUGCUAUCACUUAUCGAUGGACCCGCGCCGUAUUAGCUAGUUGGUAAGGUAACGGCUUACCAAGGCGACGAUACGUAGCCGACCUGAGAGGGUGAUCGGCCACACUGGAACUGAGACACGGUCCAGACUCCUACGGGAGGCAGCAGUAGGGAAUCUUCCGCAAUGGGCGAAAGCCUGACGGAGCAACGCCGCGUGAGUGAUGAAGGGUUUCGGCUCGUAAAACUCUGUUAUUAGGGAAGAACAAAUGUGUAAGUAACUGUGCACGUCUUGACGGUACCUAAUCAGAAAGCCACGGCUAACUACGUG
RNAcentral lists this ribosomal RNA (497 nucleotides) under uncultured bacterium. Its description in RNAcentral is "partial 16S ribosomal RNA". It matches the Rfam family "Bacterial small subunit ribosomal RNA", at positions 28 to 507 of the family's 1533-position model. The record is from RNAcentral.